Molecule: ribosomal RNA, 1415 nt
Filed under: Escherichia coli
Lineage: Bacteria; Pseudomonadati; Pseudomonadota; Gammaproteobacteria; Enterobacterales; Enterobacteriaceae
Description: partial 23S ribosomal RNA
Rfam family: Bacterial large subunit ribosomal RNA
Source: RNAcentral
GGGUUGUGAGGUUAAGCGACUAAGCGUACACGGUGGAUGCCCUGGCAGUCAGAGGCGAUGAAGGACGUGCUAAUCUGCGAUAAGCGUCGGUGAGGUGAUAUGAACCGUUAUAACCGGCGAUUUCCGAAUGGGGAAACCCAGUGUGUUUCGACACACUAUCAUUAACUGAAUCCAUAGGUUAAUGAGGCGAACCGGGGGAACUGAAACAUCUAAGUACCCCGAGGAAAAGAAAUCAACCGAGAUUCCCCCAGUAGCGGCGAGCGAACGGGGAGGAGCCCAGAGCCUGAAUCAGUGUGUGUGUUAGUGGAAGCGUCUGGAAAGGCGCGCGAUACAGGGUGACAGCCCCGUACACAAAAAUGCACAUAUUGUGAGCUCGAUGAGUAGGGCGGGACACGUGGUAUCCUGUCUGAAUAUGGGGGGACCAUCCUCCAAGGCUAAAUACUCCUGACUGACCGAUAGUGAACCAGUACCGUGAGGGAAAGGCGAAAAGAACCCCGGCGAGGGGAGUGAAAAAGAACCUGAAACCGUGUACGUACAAGCAGUGGGAGCCUCUUUAUGGGGUGACUGCGUACCUUUUGUAUAAUGGGUCAGCGACUUAUAUUCUGUAGCAAGGUUAACCGAAUAGGGGAGCCGAAGGGAAACCGAGUCUUAACUGGGCGUUAAGUUGCAGGGUAUAGACCCGAAACCCGGUGAUCUAGCCAUGGGCAGGUUGAAGGUUGGGUAACACUAACUGGAGGACCGAACCGACUAAUGUUGAAAAAUUAGCGGAUGACUUGUGGCUGGGGGUGAAAGGCCAAUCAAACCGGGAGAUAGCUGGUUCUCCCCGAAAGCUAUUUAGGUAGCGCCUCGUGAAUUCAUCUCCGGGGGUAGAGCACUGUUUCGGCAAGGGGGUCAUCCCGACUUACCAACCCGAUGCAAACUGCGAAUACCGGAGAAUGUUAUCACGGGAGACACACGGCGGGUGCUAACGUCCGUCGUGAAGAGGGAAACAACCCAGACCGCCAGCUAAGGUCCCAAAGUCAUGGUUAAGUGGGAAACGAUGUGGGAAGGCCCAGACAGCCAGGAUGUUGGCUUAGAAGCAGCCAUCAUUUAAAGAAAGCGUAAUAGCUCACUGGUCGAGUCGGCCUGCGCGGAAGAUGUAACGGGGCUAAACCAUGCACCGAAGCUGCGGCAGCGACACUAUGUGUUGUUGGGUAGGGGAGCGUUCUGUAAGCCUGUGAAGGUGGCCUGUGAGGGUUGCUGGAGGUAUCAGAAGUGCGAAUGCUGACAUAAGUAACGAUAAAGCGGGUGAAAAGCCCGCUCGCCGGAAGACCAAGGGUUCCUGUCCAACGUUAAUCGGGGCAGGGUGAGUCGACCCCUAAGGCGAGGCCGAAAGGCGUAGUCGAUGGGAAACAGGUUAAUAUUCCUGUACUUGG